Hipposideros armiger (great roundleaf bat) is the source of this 2826-nucleotide long non-coding RNA. RefSeq lists it as uncharacterized. The transcript has 4 exons. The record is from RefSeq and is a predicted model, not a curated record. Lineage: Eukaryota; Metazoa; Chordata; Mammalia; Chiroptera; Hipposideridae.
CAAAGCCUUUGAAUCCCAGUGUUGAGGUGGAAGCAAGCGAUGAGGGCUGUGUUCAUCCUAUCCUUCUCUCCUUCUUUACUUUGUUUGUUUGUUGUUGUUGUUGUUGUUUUGUAAGGUUCAUCACAGAAGUCUUCUGAAAAUUGAGUUGAGAGGAAAUGCCUGCAGUCAGCUGCCCUGGAAGGAGGCCACAAGAUGGGGAUUUUUCUGGGAGUAACUUGCCACUUGCCUCCAGCACAACUGGUUAGCUCUUUCCCGCUGAGACUCCACUACAUAAACGGAAGGCUGAAAUUACACGCCAUCCUACUGCCAGUCCAUUGGCCAGAAUUUUCACGUGGCCCCAUCUAACUGCAAGGAGGGCUGGGAAAUGCAGGGAAGCACACGGAUACCCGGCUGUCCUUUGUCAUCUCAAGGCUCCUUUCAAGUCAAAAUAGACACAUGGUUCAGCCUCCAGGGAGGAACCCUGAACACAGGUUCUUUGUGUUGCUAAUUACUGGCCAUUCAUGCCGUCCUGGCCUCAGACACUGCAGAAUAAAGAGCGGUACCAUCUCCCACGAUGCGGUCAUCACUAAAAUCACUUGGGGUCCUCGUCUGAUUUCCUUCAGGCAUUUCUGUCUGUGCUUUUAGGAUCCCCAACCUUCAUUGGUGGGGAUGGCGUUUGAGUCUAGGAAAUAGUGGAAAUCUUAUCAAGUUAAGUCUGGUGGAUGAGUCGCUAGUCAAGCCGGGAGAUUCCAGUUUUAACAGGACAUUAACAGGACAUGUACUGGGCGUGUUCGCUGUGCCAGGCUCUCACUGAGGGCUGGGAAAGCAGAGACUCGCGGGACCCUGAUCUUGCGCUCCAAGGGCUGCCGGUCCCUCGGACUUCUCAGGAGGAAACUGCGAAAUAGAGUUCUACAAACUCUCAGCCAUGGCAGCAUCUUCGGAAUAAAGAACUGUCCCUGGUGGAACCCUGUUAGCGUCGACAGCUGUUGUGCGAACACCCAAGUUUGGAGGUUUGUUUAAAACUAGCCCCAUUCCUCUCUUCGCCGAAGUGUCCAUGUAGUGUUGGAGUCUGCAGCUUGAAGGGACCACUGUUUGUUAGCGUCCUAAAUCCAGUGGAGGUUUUGGAACCGGGGGUAGGAAAUUUUCACAAGAACCUAAAUUUCACAUCGAUUUGUGAUGGAUUCACAUACCAAAACCGGCUUAAAGUGCACUUAAUGGAUGUGUUACUGCAGAAGGAAUCUGUCUAACCAGAGUAUUUCUAAAUUUAUGAAAUUGACAUGCACUUCAGGUUGCCGAGAAGUCUAAAUUUGUCAAAGUCACAGGACCGGAGGCAGGUCCAUGGCAGAGAUCUGAAGCCAGGUCCACGGAGAUGAAUUUGAGAGCUCGUGCACUGAUCCCCCAGACCCCCCUCGCACCUAGGUGUGGCCCUCCCUAGCAGAGGGAGCUCUGACACCAGCGGCAACCCACGCCUCAUGCUGUCCCCUUGGAAACAACCUCCAAUGUGGGGAUCAGGUAAAGGUGAAUUGAAACCUCAUCCCAGUCUCUGCAAAAGUAACUGAAAAUUAACAGGUUAGGUGAUGACUAAGGCCUUUGGCAUCUCAAAUGAUUUUUCCUGCAGGGGCACUGCGUUCUGAUAGGGGAGACCUGGAAGACCCCCAAUGCUCCAGCCUCGAUGCUUGAUGCUCUCGUGGUGGAAUGACAAAAGGCAAGGUUGCAGCUGUUGAGCUGAGGCCUCUAAUGAGUAGCGCUCAAGGCCUGGCCUUGUCUCCUUCCCUCCUAAAUUGUCUGCUGUCCUCACUUUCAAAUUAUUGGAACGGUUCCCAGAACUGUGACCCCCAUCCCUUAACCCCCUUAAAGUGGACUUCCUGCUGCAGUUCCUCCUGAAUUCACAGCUCUAUGAAAUGCCAGCACUGCAGCUUUCAAGGUCCUGCUACCUCCAGUUGAGAAACGGAGGGCCAGACCACUGGUGGCAGGAGUGGAAUCUGGUCUUCUGAGCUUCAGUAUGUCCUGAGCACCUAGCACAUACGCGGCACGGAGAGUGACCCCAGCUGUGUCCAUCCCUUUUCUCUCUUCUUGCCACACUUUCCUAUCAGGUGUGCCUGCCAUUAACUUGAGUCCAAUGGCACUAGCGCACACUAAUGGGACAGGGCUGGCCUUGGCCCUUUCCCCACGUUGUUUGUUUCCUGAGCCUUCGUCUCCUCACCUGAAAAACAGGGAUCAAUAAUAUUGGCUCACAAGGCUGUUGUGAGGGUCAAAUGAUGCAGCACGGGGAAAUGGUUAGCUGAGUGCCUGUCAUAUGGUGACUCUGUAGGUCCCAGCCUUAGCAGGGGAUGGAGACCUGAUCAUCUUAGUGGCUCCAGCACUGGCUCCAGCGUGUGGCACAGAGCCAGGUGUUUGGGGACUGUCUGCUGAAUGAAUGAAUGAGUGAAUGAUUGUGAUUUUGGGGAUCAUAGCAGACCUCUGGUUUUCCAGUUUCCGGAUGUCCUUGCUUUGUCUCUACAGGAUCUUUAUUCAAGUAAUACUUGUUCACCAAUUCAAUAAAUCAGUUAAAAAACAGUUAUUAUGUCACUGUUAUGUGCAAAACUACUGUGAAUAAUGUUGAUUACUAAUAAGAGCUCGUAUUUCGGAGCUCUUACUGUGUCCCAAGAGCUGUGCUUUGUAUUUGUCAAACAUUUUGUCAUUGAUCUUUACACCAGCCCACGGAGGGAAUGUAUCAGUCAGCUACCGCCACAAUGAUGCUGUGUAACAAACUCCGAUUCAGUGGCGUACAACAAGUACUUCUCCCCCUUGCUAUGUGUCUGUGGGCAGCUGGGGCGGCUCUGAGUCCAACUGUAGGUGGGGUGACUU